GGGAGAGCUCGAGAGACUCGGGAGACCUCGGAAGACCUCGGGAGACCUCGGGAGACCUCCGGACAGAGGAAGACUAUCCCCCCAGAUCGCUUCCCCCCUCGGCGGGCAGCACCCCAUUCCUCUGAGGUGCCCAUCGAAGCUGUCAGCCACCAUCACAGACUGCCAGGAACAUGUGCUUCCCUAACCUCAUUGUGCAGCUCGUGUCAGGACCUUCUCUUUAUCGUUUUCGUCGUGUGUAAUAUUCAUCACACCGGUUUAUUUAUGGGGCCCUCGUUGGGAAGUUAUUUUUCAGGCCUGGUGAAUAAAACAUUAGACUUUGCGUCUUGACGGGAAACCAAGGGAUAAACUUCAAGAACCACUUUUCAGCAAGACUCCAGAGAGACGGCUCAGCAGUUAAGAGCUGUUCCUGAGAGAACCCCAGUUCACUUCCCAGAACUGACAUGGAGGCUCCCGAUCAGCCGUCAGUCCAGUCCUAGAACCUUCAGUCCAGCUGUCAGUCCAGUCUAAAGCCUUCUCCUGAGCUCUGAGAACACCAGACAGACACACGGUGCAGACAUGUGCAGUCGAGACACCCAGGCUCCAGCAUUGUGAGCUAAGUGGUGAUCCCAGUCACUACAGUGGCCACUCACUGUGGCCUGUCCUUUGGUAAGAGGGCUGAGUACAAAGCCAUCCCUUUCUUGUGGGAGCCCCUGAUGUGUGUCCCUACCAACAGCAGGACCUGGUGCUCCCUCCAGAGGGAGGAGAGCCUGCUGGUUAGUUUUCUAGGCACAAUCACUACAAGUUCAAGGGCACCUGCGUCUCUCCUCGGAUUCUCCAGGAGACUCAGUGCCCCUUGGGUUUUCCAUACAUCAACAAGAUAAUGACCUCAGUGCUCCCUGUAGUGGUUUGAAUAGGUUUGGCCCCCAUACACUCACUGUCCGAAUGCUUGGCCCACAGGGAGUGAUACUAUUAGGAGGUGUGGCCUUGUUGGAAUAGGUGUGGCCUUGUUGGAGGAAGUGUGUUGCUGUAGGGGAGGGCUUUGAAAGGGUUCUCCUGGCUUCCUUCUGAUUAAGAUGGAGAACUGCAGGCUUUGCCUGCCUGUAUUGUAAGCUGCCAUGAUUCCCACCAUGCUCUGUAAGCCAACUCCAGUUAAAUGCCGUCCUUUAUAAGGGUUGCCUUGGUCACAGUCUGUCUUCACAGCAAUGGAGACCCUAACUAAGCCAGUCCCCAAACCCCACCAGGCAAGUGCUACCUGUCCAUCUCAUAUCCAACUCUGAGAGAAGCCGACCCUGGGAACCUGGACACUGUGGCUUUCUGAGCCACUCUGCAAGGUUCCCACUCAAGAUCUGCUUGGGUGGGGCCAUGCAUCUAAGCACUGUCCCUCCAUGGCUCUUUGGAGGAGUGCAAGGAGUGCAAGGAAAGGUGCUCCAGUUCAUCACCAUCUACAGCAAAAACACUUGUGCAAGCAUCAAGUUUCUUCUCCAAGACAGUUGGGACGUUAGUCUAGAGACUGUUGUGAGCCUAGUCGGAGGCGGGCAAAGGCUUGAAUACCAGGAUGUUCACAUGGUCAGGUGAACGCACCCAGGAACCUGGCUCUGACAACUUUGCCUGCACACUUCUGGGACCAGGAUCUAAUGUAGGGAUGCAAAUACACUGCUAAUUUUAAAAACA
Molecule: non-coding RNA, 1650 nt
Organism: Rattus norvegicus (Norway rat)
Lineage: Eukaryota; Metazoa; Chordata; Mammalia; Rodentia; Muridae
Source: RefSeq, a predicted model, not a curated record